CUCAAUGUAAGACCUUUGCAACCAAUAUGUUAGCUCUUUCUCCCUGAAUUUGCUGACUAAUGUUGCUUUUCCUUUUCCGGAAGCUAACUGACAGCUCAGUCUUAGGCAAUAUUAUAUUGCUUUCUGUCACGAUCCCAACUUUCCCUCCGUAGGAUAUCGUGACUGCACCUAGUUUCUAAGAUUAGGUAAGCCUAGUGACAUGCAGAAUAAUCAAAUAACAAUUUAAAAACUCUCAAAAUAUCCAUUAAUCAAUACAUAAUAAAAUUCCCAAAACCUGGUGAAAAUACAAGUCACAAGCUUUUAGAAGGAGUCCCAAAAUAGCUCUAAAUAUCAGAGUCUAAUAAAGAUAAAGAAACAAGAUAGUAAAGAUAGAGGGGGACUCCUAGGUCUGCGGACGCUGGCAGAUAUACCUUGAAGUCUCCACGCACAGCUAGCUCACGGGUACCUGGUUUGAUAAUAAGUACCUAGAUCUGCACAAAAAAAUGCACAGAAGUGUAGUAUGAGCACAUCACGGUGGUGCCCAGUAAGUGCCAAGCCUAACCUCGGUUGAGUAGUGACGAGGUCAAGUCAGGGCCCUACUGGAAUGUAAUAAAAGACUGGGCAAGAAGUUUAACAAUAUAAUAGCAGUAAUGACAAAUGGAAACAUGUCACAUAAAAAUUAUGUCAAAAUUUAACAACACAGAAUAAGAGCAAUUAGUAAUAACUUACUGAAGGGAAAACUUCAAUUCAAUAAAUAAAGAGUCAUAAAAUAACUGGAAAGUAAAUGCAGUCAUAAAGAAAUGUCAACAGGGGCACUCUCGAGGUACCGCCUCGUAGUCCCAAAUCAUAAAUAAAUUCACAAUAUCUCAUUUCCUUAUAUCACCGCGGGAGCCUUCACAUUUAAUUUUAAAGAAAAUAUUUUUCCCAAAAUAGCAUCCCGCGUUUUAGCCACCCUUAUCUCACCGCAUGACUUCUAGUAGUUCCCCUACUAGCCACGCGUAUCAAGCCAUCCUUAUCUCAAAGCAUGCGUUUCAACACCCAGACCUUAUACCACCGCAUGCGUAUCAAUAUCACAAUAUAUCACAAUCUGCACCUCAAGUGCUCAAAUAUUUCAACUUGCCAAAAUAAAUCAACAACAACAAUAUUUUCCACAAUAAAAAGCUCACUGCUCAAUCUCGAUGGGUGUAAAAUCUCAAUAACUAAUAUUUCAUAAUUUAUCACCUUGAGUCCAUACCAAUUUUUACCAUGCCAAAUACUUCAUAUUAAAAAUUAUUAAAUUAAAAAAAAAAUACAACCUUCAAAUAAUGAGCACAAAUAAAAGAAACAAGUUUCAAUUUAACAGAUAGGAAAUUAGCAAGAAAAGGUCAGACGAAUUUCAAGGAUAUGAAAAUAAUUCAAUGACAAUGAAUAUAACAUGAGUAAAUGAUUUAAUUAAUAUGCAAAAGUGAUCUACACAAUUUAAAAGUAUAACCUUCCACAUUUAGUCCGUGUACACACUCGUCACCUCAUGUACAUGACUUUCAAUACAUUGCAAUUAGCACAUUAAUACCAAUCCUAAGGGAAAGUCCCCCACACAAGGUUAGACAAGUCACUUACCUCGACUUGCUCCAAUUUAAUCCACUAGUAGGCUUUUUCCUCGAUUAUUCAAUUCUGAAUGGCUCGAAUCUAGCCAAAAUAAUAACAACAACAACAACCAGAAAAAUAAUAAUUACAAAACUAGUUCAUGGAAGCAAAUGUGAAACAGAUCCGAAUGCAAGAUGGAAGAACAAUCAGUUGCUAGAGCAAUACCAAAAAAAAUCAUAUAAAUGUGCCAAGAAAAGGAACUAUUGUAAACUAAAGAAACAAAAAUAUCUUGGAUGAGAUCCGGAUGAAACAUAAAAAGAAAGUUCCAAAUGUUUUGGCCAAAAGCACAACAACAAUCAAAGAAAGGUAAUCAAAAAAGAAAAACUAAAAAAAAGUUUUGAGUAAUCUACAUGGUACUAUAAAGUCCUGCAGUAAAAGAAAACUACUCAACCAUAAGACAACCAAAUGAAGCAAUGAGUAAAACCCAUUUCACAUAUCAAGAUUUAAAUCUAACAUCUUUAAUCAAAAAAAAAAAAAUUUUAAAAAAAAAACUACCAUAAAACAAAGAUCAAAACUUUACUAGACUAAACCCGAAUUAAAGCUACUUACUUUAAUCAAAUACUAAACUGCCACAAAAUAAAGAUCAAAACUUUAACAGAUAAACCAAAUUAAAAAAAAAGUAUAAGUACCUCAAAUAAGUCCAAAAAUGAAGAAAAGGAGAAUUCGCAAUCUGGAGUUGAUAAGGUCUUUCAAUAAAUAGUGAUUGCAUAUAAAUAUAUAAAUUUAAUGAAUGAACUCACCUACCCAAUGUGGACCUUUAUGGAUGGAGAGAAACAAACUUUCGGUGACAUGAUCUAAUUUUCUUCUGUAAACACUGUGGUUUACAUCUUGCAGUCAAAGUACGACUGCUCUUUAUUUAUUUAUUUAUAAGAUUCCAAGAAUAUUGCCCUAUGAAAUAAAUUCCGAUUGGCCUCAAAUUUUGCACACAAGUCAUAAAUGACAUAAUGAAGCUAUGAAAAUUUUCAGAACUAGAUUCUGAUCCCGAUAUCAAAAAGUUAACUCCUCGGUCAAACUUCCAAACUUAAAUUUCUUAUUUUCGCCAUUACAAGCCUAAUUUAGCUACGGACCUCAAAAUAAUUAUUCGGACACACUCCUAAGCCCGAAAUUACCAUACAGAGCUAUUAGAAUCAUCAAAAUUUCAUUCUGGGGUCGUUUACACAUAUUUCACCUUCCGGUCAAAUUAUUCAACUUAAGCUCCCUUCUUGGAGACUAAGUGUCUUAAUUCAUUUCAAAACCUCACCGAACCCAAACCAAUUACCAUUGCAAGUCACAUAACAACUGUAAAGCAUGAAUUUAGCAAUAAUUGGGGAAACGGGAUUGUACUAUUCAAAACGACUGGUCGGGUCGUUACAUUCUCUCCCUCUUAAACAAACGUUCGUCUUCGAACGAGUUUAGAAAAAUACCCGGAGUCUCAAAUAGGUGUGGAUAUUUGCUCCGCAUAUCCCGUUCAGUCUCCCAAGUAGCUUCUCCGAUUGGCUGGCCUCUCCACAUCACUUUCACUGAAGCUAUGUUCUUUGACCUCAACUUUCGAACCUGCCCAUCUACAAUUGCCACUGGCUCUACAUCAUAAGCCAAAUUACCCUCCAACUGAACUGUACUGAAAUCCAAAAUAUGGGACGGAUCCCCAAUAUAUUUUCUAAGCAUAGAAACAUGAAAUACUGGAUGUACACCCGAUAGGUUAGGUGGCAAAGCAAGUUCAUAAGCCACCUCCCCGAUCCUUUUAAGUAUUUCAAAAGGUCCAAUAUAUCUAGGACUCAACUUUCCUUUCUUCCUGAAUCUCAUAACACCUUUCAUAGGUGAAAUCUUCAGUAAGACCUUCUCACCAAUUAUGUAAGACACAUCACGGACCUUCUGUCGGCAUAACUUUUCUGUCUAGACUGCGACGUGCGAAGCCGUUCCUGAAUCAACUUGGCCUUGUUCAAGGUAUCCUGAACCAAAUCAGUACCCAAUAGCCUAGCCUCACCUGGCUCGAACCAACCCACAGGAGACCGACACUGUCUACCAUAUAAAGUUUCAUACAGAGCCAUUUGAAUGCUCGAUUGGUAACUGUUAUUAUAAGAAAACUCCGCUAGCGGUAGGAACUGAUCCCAAGAACCCCCAAGAUCAAUGACACAAGCACGUAGCAUAUCCUCUAAUAUUUGAAUAGUGCGCUCGGACUGUCCGUCCGUCUGAGGGUGAAAUGCUGUACUAAGCUGUACCUGUGUGCCUAGCUCUCGCUGCACUACUCUCCAAAACUAUAAUGUAAAUUGUGUGCCCCUAUCAGAAAUAAUGGACUCUGGCACACCAUGAAGAUGAACAAUCUCGUGGAUAUAAAUCUCUGCUAACCGCUCCGCAGAGUAAGUCGUCACCACUGGAAUGAAAUGAGCUGACUUGGUCAAUCUGUCUACAAUCACCCAAACUGCAUCAAACUUUUUCUGAGUCCGUGGAAGCCCAACAACGAAAUCCAUAGUAAUCUGCUCCCAUUUCCACUCUGGAAUCUCUAGCUUCUGAAGCAAUCCACUUGGCCGUUGGUGCUCAUACUUCACCUGUUGACAAUUUAGGCACCGAGCUACAUACUCUACUAUGUCCUUCUUCAUUCUCCUCCACUAAUAGUGCUGCUUCAAAUCCUGAUACAUCUUUACAGCACCCGGAUGAAUGGAAUACCGCGAACUGUGAGCUUCUUGGAGAAUCACCUCACACAAACUAUCUACGUUAGGAACACACAACCGACCAUGCAUACUCAGUACCCCAUCAUCCCCAAGAGUUACAUCACUGACAUCACCGUGCUGAACCGUGUCCUUCAGGACAAGUAAAUGAGGAUCAUCAUACUGGCGUUCCUUGAUGCGGUCAUAUAAGGAGGACUGAGAAACCACACAUGCCAGGACCCGAUUGGGCUCCGAGACAUCCAAUUUGACGAACUGGUUGGCUAAAGCCUGAACCUCCAAUGCUAAUGGCCUCUCUGCUACCGGUAAAUGUGCUAGACUACCCAAACUUUCCGCCUUCCGACUCAAAGCAUCGGCCACCACAUUGGCCUUCUCCGGGUGAUACAAUAUGGAAAUAUCAUAAUCCUUAAGUAAUUCUAACCACCUUCGUUGUCGCAAAUUAAGGUCCUUCUGCUUGAACAAAUGUUGUAAAUUCCGAUGGUCGGUAUAAACCUCACAAUGGACACCGUACAAAUAAUGCCGCCAAAUUUUCAAGGCAUGAACAAUAGCUGGCAAUUCAAGGUCGUGCACAGGAUAAUUCUUCUCAUGUACCUUCAGCUAUCUGGACGCGUAGGCAAUCACCCUACCGUCUUGCAUUAACACUGUGCCGAGACCAAUACGCGACGCAUCACAACAUACAGUAUAAGACCUUGUACCUGUAGGCAACACCAACACCAGAGCAGUAGUUAAAGCUGUCUUGAGCUUCUGGAAGCUUUCCUCACAUUCCUCGGACCACCUGAACGGAGCACCCUUCUGGGUCAAUCGGGUUAUAGGUGUAGCAAUAGAAGAGAAACCUUGUACAAAUCGGCGAUAAUAUCCUGCCAAGCCGAGAAAACUCUGGAUCUCCGUAGCUGAGGAUGGUCUGGGCCAACUCUGAACUGCCUCGAUCUUCUUCGGAUAUACCUGAAUCCCCUCCCUGGACACUAUGUGCCCCAAGAAUGCCACCGAACUACGCCAGAACUCACACUUAGAGAAUUUUGCAUAAAGUUUCUCCUCCCUCAGUCUCUGCAAUACAAUACCCAAGUGUUGUGCAUGUUCCUCCUGGCCACGUGAGUAUACCAGGAUAUCAUCAAUAAAUACUACGACAAGUAAAUCAAGAUAUGGGCGAAAUACACUGUUCAUCAAGUGCAUAAAUGCUGCUGGGGCGUUAGUUAGCCCAAAAGACAUCACAAGAAAUUCAUAGUGACCAUAUCGAGUCCUGAAUGCUGUCUGCAAAAUAUCGGAAUCCCGAAUUUUCAAUUGGUGAUACCCAGACCGCAAAUCAAUUUUUGAGAAUACCUUGGCACCCUGCAACUGAUCAAAUAGGUCAUCAAUACGAGGUAAUGGGUACCUGUUCUUCACUGUAACCUCGUUCAGCUGGCGAUAAUCGAUACACAUACGCAUGGAGCCAUCUUUCUUCUUUACAAACUAGGCUGGGACACCCUAAGGUGAUACACUGGGCCGAAUGAAACCCUUAUCAAGCAACUCCUGUAGCUGCUCCUUUAGUUCUUUCAAUUCUGCCGGGGCCGUCCGAUAUGGUGGAAUAGAGAUGGGCUGAGUGCCCGGUAACAAAUCAAUGCCAAAAUCAAUAUCCCUAUCGGGUGGCAUACCCGGAAGAUCAGUUGGAAAUACAUCUGGAAAAUCCCUGACUACUGGAACUGACUCUACGGUAUGACUAUCAACAUUGACAUCUCUCACAAGGGCUAGAUAAGCAUUGCGCCCUUUUUCAACCAUACGCCGGGCCUUUAGAAAGGAAAUAACAUUGCUAGGAACAAAAUUUAAAACACCUCUCCAUAAUAUAUGUGGUAUACCGGGUAUAGCCAGCGUCACAGUUUUUGCGUGACAAUCGAGAAUAGCAUGAUGGGGAGACAACCAGUCUAUGCCCAAAAUAAUAUCAAAAUCUACCAUAUUGAGCAAUAAUAGAUCGGCUCUGGUCUCAAAAUCAUUAAUAAUAAUUAAACACGACCAAUACACACGGUCAACAAUAAUAGAAUCUCUCACGGGUGUAGAUACAUGCACAGGAUAACUCAGAGAAUCACGAAACACUCCAAAUAUGGGGCAAAAUAAGAAGACACGUAAGAAUAGGUGGAGCCUGGAUCAAACAAGGCUGAAGCCUCUCUAUAACAAACCGAAAUUAUACCUGUGAUGACUGAGUCAGAUGCAAAUGCCUCAGUCCUAGCUGGAAGAGCAUAAUGUCUGGCCUGACCUCCCCUUCUAGGGCGACCUCUACUUGCCCGACCUCCACCUCGAGCUGGCUGUGCAGGUGGAGUGGCAACUGGUGCAGCAACCAUAGCCUGAGAAACUCGAGGGCCUUGUGGAGCAGGUGGAGCCUGAGAAAUCUGUGGAGGUGCACCCCUCCUGAGUCUGGGGCAAUCCCUCACAAUAUGACGAGUGUCACCACACUCAAAACAAGCCCUCGGAGGACGCGACUGCUGAGACUGGCUCGGGCCUGUUCGGCUAGACUGACUGCUAAAAGCAUCACGUGCAGGAGGUACACUGGAUAAUGGCGGUGCAUAAUAAGGAGCCGAAGGUCUGGGAGUAGGCGGAAUGUCACUGGCAGCUGGAAGUGCAGAAUGAAUAGGACGGCUCACAUAGCCUCUACCAUGACGGGCUGUAGCUGGGGCACAAGAAUUAUUAUAGGUGCCAGAAUCUUGAGGCCUCUUAGCCUCUCUCUCUUCCCUAUCCCGGAUCCGCAUACCCUCUAAUCUCCUGGAUAUUGCCACUACCUGCUGAUAUGUGAUGUCCGUUUCCAGUUCUCGGGCCAUACUGUAUUUGAUGUUAGGGUUGAGCCCCUUAAUAAAUCGACGAACCCUCUCUCUGACAGUAGCAACCAAGGCUGGUGCAUGCCUGGAUAAAUCACUGAACCGGACUGCAUACUCCGAGACAGUCAUAGAACCCUGGCGCAACUACUCAAACUCCGCGCGCCAUGCAUCUCUAAGACUCUGGGGAACAUACUCCCUCAAGAACAUAUCCGAGAACUGAGUCCAAGUGAGUGAAGCUGCUUCGGCAGGACUAUCCAACUCAUAUGCCAGCCACCACUGAUAAGCUGCUCCCCUAAGCUGAAAUGCAGUGAAAGAAACCCCACUAGUUUCCGCAAUACCCAUGGUACGGAGGAUACGGUGGCACUCCUCAAGAAAUCCCUGGGCAUCUUCUGACGCCAAGCCACUGAAAGUAGGAGGGUGGUAUCUCUUGUACCUCUCGAGCCUGAGUUGCUCCCCUUCAGAAACUGCUCCUCUAGUCUCAGCCUGUACCGGGACGACUGGCUGUACGGGUAUGACCCCUGGUACAUGAUCAACCUGGACCCGUGGCUCUGGGGUACGCGUGACGGGAGUAUGUGCUCCUCCCCCGGCCUGUGAUGUGGCAGGAGCAAGUGGAAUCAAUCCUGCCUGAGCUAGAGUGUUAAACAUGCUCAGAAAUUGAGCAAGAGUCUCCCGAAGUGCAGGGGCAGUAACAGGCGUCUCAGGUGCCUGCUCUCCAACUGGAACUAUUGGUGGUUCCUCUACAACAGCUCGUGCAGGUGCUCUGGCUGCACCACGUGGUCUCCCUCGGCCUCUGCUCCAGCCUCUUGAGGCUAUAGAAGGGGGUGUGGGUGUCUGAUCAUCAGAUCCAGUCGUACGUGUCUCACAGAUUGUCGUACGUGUCCUCACCAUCUGUGAGAGAAUAGAAAGGCUAAGUUUAAUAAUUCGAAGUCAACAAAUACGCACGAUAAGGAAUCAAAUAAGUGAUAAUUUCCUAACAGUUCUACAGCCUCCCGAAGAUAAGUACAGACGUCUCCAUACCGAUUCGCGAGACUCUACUAAACCUACUUGUGACUCAUAAUACCUAUGAACCUAGGGCUCUGAUACCAACUUGUCACGAUCCCAACUUUUCCUCCGUAGGAUAUCGUGACUGCACCUAGUCUCUAAGACUAGGUAAGCCUAGUGACAUGCGGAAUAAUCAAAUAACAAUUUAAAAAUUCUCAAAAUAUCCAUUAAUCAGUACAUAAUAAAAUUCCCAAAACCUGGUGAAAAUACAAGUCACAAGCUUUUAGAAGGAGUCCUAAAAUAGCUCUAAAUGUCAGAGUCUAAUAAAGAUAAAGAAACAAGAUAGUAAAGAUAGAGGGAGACUCCUAGGUCUGCAGACGCUGGCAGAUAUACCUUGAAGUCUCCAAGCACAGCUAGCUCACGGGUACCUGGUCUGAUAAGAAGUACCUGAAUCUGCACAAAAAAAUACGCAGAAGUGUAGUAUGAGCACACCACGGCGGUGCCCAAUAAGUGCCAAGCCUAACCUCGGUUGAGUAGUGACGAGGUCAAGUCAGGGCCCUACUGGAAUGUAAUAAAAGACAGGGCAAGAAGUUUAACAAUAUAAUAGCAGUAAUGACAAAUGGAAACAUGUCACAUAAAGAUUAUGUCAAAAUUUAACAACACAGAAUAAGAGCAAUUAGUAAUAACUUACUGAAGGGAAAACUUCAAUUCAAUAAAUAAAGAGUCAUAAAAUAACUGGAAAGUAAAUGCAGUCAUAAAGAAAUAUCAACAGGUGCACUCCCGAGGUACCGCCUCAUAGUCCCAAAUCAUAAAUAAAUUCACAAUAUCUCAUUUCCUUAUAUCACCGCGGGAGCCUUCACAUUUAAUUUUAAAGAAAAUAUUUUUCCCAAAAUAGCAUCCCGCGUUUUAGCCACCCUUAUUUCACCGCAUGACUUCUAGUAGUUCCCCUACUAGCCACGCGUAUCAAGCCAUCCUUAUCUCAAAGCAUGCGUUUCAACACCCAGACCUUAUACCACCGCAUGCGUAUCAUUAUCACAAUAUAUCACAAUCUGUACCUCAAGUGCUCAAAUAUUUCAACUUGCCAAAAUAAAUCAACAACAACAAUAUUUUCCACAAUAAAAAACUCACUGCUCAAUCUCGAUGGGUGUAAAAUCUCAACAACUAAUAUUUCACAAUUUAUCACCUUGAUUCCAUACCAAUAUUUACCAUGCCAAAUACUUCAUAUUAAAAAAAAAACACAACCUUCAAAUAAUGAGCACAAAUAAAAGAAACAAGUUUCAAUUUAACAGAUAGGAAAUUAGCAAGAAAAGGUCAGACGAAUUUCAAUGAUAUGAAAAUAAUUCAAUGACAAAAUAUAACAGGAGUAAAUGAUUUAAUUAAUAUGCAAAAGUGAUCUACACAAUUUAAAAGUAUAACCUUCCACAUUUAGUCCGUGUACACACUCGUCACCUCAUGUACAUGACUUUCAAUACAUUGCAAUUAGCACAUUAAUACCAAUCCUAAGGGAAAGUACCCCACGCAAGGUUAGACAAGUCACUUACCUCGACUUGCUCCAAUUUAAUCCACUAGUAGGCCUUUUCCUCGAUUAUUCAAUUCUGAAUUGCUCGAAUCUUGCCAAAAUAAUAACAACAACAACAACCAGAAAAACAAUAAUUACAAAACUAGUUCAUGGAAGCAAAUGUGAAACAAAUCCGAAUGCAAGAUGGAAGAACAAUCAGUUGUCAGAGCAAUACCAAAAAAAAAAUCAUAAAAAGGUGCCAAGAAAAGGAACUAUUGUAAACUAAAGAAACAAAAAUAUCUUGGAUGAGAUCUGGAUGAAACAUAAAAAGAAAGUUCCAAACGUUUUGGCCAAAAGCACAACAACAAUCAAAGAAAGGUAAUCAGAAAAGAAAAACUAAAAAAAAGUUUUGAGUAAUCUACAUGGUACUAUAAAAUCCUGCAGUAAAAGAAAACUACUCAACCAUAAGACAACCAAAUGAAGCAACGAGUAAAACCCAUUUCACAUAUCAAGAUUUAAAUCUAACAUCUUUAAUAAUAAAUAAAUAAAUAAAUAAACUACCAUAAAACAAAGAUCAAAACUUUACUAGACUAAACCCGAAUUAAAGCUACUUACUUUAAUCAAAUACUAAACUGCCACAAAAUAAUGAUCAAAACUUUACUAGACUAAACCCGAAUUAAAGCUACUUACUUUAAUCAAAUACUAAACUGCCAUAAGAUAAAGAUCAAAACUUUAACAGAUAAACCAAAUUAAAAAAAAAAAGUAUAAGU
This 10273-nucleotide long non-coding RNA is filed under the name Nicotiana tabacum (common tobacco). RNAcentral describes it as "long non-coding RNA (NTAB_LNC015561)". Lineage: Eukaryota; Viridiplantae; Streptophyta; Magnoliopsida; Solanales; Solanaceae. The record is from RNAcentral.